GCUCCGUUGGUGAACCAGCGGAGGGAUCAUUACCGAGUUUACAACUCCCAAACCCAAUGUGAACGUUACCAAACUGUUGCCUCGGCGGGGUCACGCCCCGGGUGCGUCGCAGCCCCGGAACCAGGCGCCCGCCGGAGGAACCAACCAAACUCUUUCUGUAGUCCCCUCGCGGACGUUAUUUCUUACAGCUCUGAGCAAAAAUUCAAAAUGAAUCAAAACUUUCAACAACGGAUCUCUUGGUUCUG
RNAcentral lists this unclassified non-coding RNA (245 nucleotides) under plant metagenome. RNAcentral's name for it is "partial contains small subunit ribosomal RNA, internal transcribed spacer 1, and 5.8S ribosomal RNA". The record is from RNAcentral.